RNAcentral lists this transfer RNA (67 nucleotides) under Artibeus jamaicensis (Jamaican fruit-eating bat). RNAcentral's name for it is "tRNA-Phe". It matches the Rfam family "tRNA". Rfam says of the family: Transfer RNA (tRNA) molecules are approximately 80 nucleotides in length. Their secondary structure includes four short double-helical elements and three loops (D, anti-codon, and T loops). Lineage: Eukaryota; Metazoa; Chordata; Mammalia; Chiroptera; Phyllostomidae. The record is from RNAcentral.
GUUGAUGUAGCUUAUUAAUAAAGCAAGGCACUGAAAAUGCCUAGAUGAGUCGUAUGACUCAUAAACA